Molecule: ribosomal RNA, 442 nt
Filed under: uncultured bacterium
Lineage: Bacteria
Description: partial 16S ribosomal RNA
Rfam family: Bacterial small subunit ribosomal RNA
Source: RNAcentral
CCUACGGGUGGCAGCAGUGGGGAAUAUUGGGCAAUGGGCGCAAGCCUGACCCAGCAACGCCGCGGGAAGGAAGAAGGCUUUCGGGUUGUAAACUUCUUUUAAGAGGGAUGAGCAGAAGACGGUACCUCUUGAAUAAGCCACGGCAAACUACGUGCCAGCAGCCGCGGUAAUACGUAGGUGGCAAGCGUUGGACGGGUUUACUGGUAGUAAAGGGCGUGCAGCCGGGAAGACAAGUCCGAAGUUAAAUACCGCGGCUCAACCCGGGAACUGCAUUUGAAACUGUUUUUCUUGGGGACCGGAGAGGUCAUCGGAAUUCCUUGUGUAGCGGUGAAAUGCGUAGAUAUAAGGAAGAACACCAGUGGCGAAGGCGGAUGACUGGACGGCAACUGACGGUGAGGCGCGAAAGCGUGGGGAGCAAACAGGAUUAGAUACCCUAGUAGUC